This 72-nucleotide transfer RNA is filed under the name Sphaerodactylus townsendi. RNAcentral's name for it is "tRNA-Ala". The record is from RNAcentral. Lineage: Eukaryota; Metazoa; Chordata; Lepidosauria; Squamata; Sphaerodactylidae.
GGGGCUGUGGCUCAGCAGAAAUGCCUCUGCUUUGCAUGCAAAAGGUCCCCAGUUCGAUCCCCGGCAGCUUCA